Molecule: ribosomal RNA, 500 nt
Filed under: uncultured bacterium
Lineage: Bacteria
Description: bacterial SSU rRNA
Rfam family: Bacterial small subunit ribosomal RNA
Source: RNAcentral
AUUUGAACGCUGGCGGCAGGCCUAACACAUGCAAGUCGAGCGGUAACAGGGGAGCUUGCUCCUGCUGACGAGCGGCGGACGGGUGAGUAACGCGUAGGAAUCUACCUGGUAGUGGGGGAUAGCCCGGGGAAACUCGGAUUAAUACCGCAUACGCCUUAAGGGGGAAAGCAGGGGAACUUCGGUCCUUGUGCUAUCAGAAGAGCCUGCGUUGGAUUAGCUAGUUGGUAGGGUAAAGGCCUACCAAGGCGACGAUCCAUAGCUGGUCUGAGAGGAUGAUCAGCCACACUGGGACUGAGACACGGCCCAGACUCCUACGGGAGGCAGCAGUGGGGAAUAUUGGACAAUGGGGGCAACCCUGAUCCAGCCAUGCCGCGUGUGUGAAGAAGGCCUUCGGGUUGUAAAGCACUUUAAGUGGGGAGGAAGGGGUGCUGGCUAAUAUCCAGCAUCAUUGACGCUACCCACAGAAUAAGCACCGGCUAACUCUGUGCCAGCAGCCGCGG